GUGGCCACAUUACGUUUAGUCUUUUUGCAAGUUAAAUCUCUUGAUUGGAACAGUGUUCCCUUUCAUUGUUUUUGCUUUCUACUAUUUAGAAUUUCCUGUGUUUUAUAUUUAUAUUUUUCAUUUCUAGUGUCAUUUAAAUGGUUCCUCUAACUUCUCAGUUUCAUGUUAAUAGAACUUAAUUCUAAAGUCUUGGCAAGUUCAGAUCCUACUUUUUGAAGAAUAAUUGGGAAUUAGUUUAGUAAUAAGUACACUUGAAUUUAUUUGUAUAUAAUGUAAAUUCAUCAUUUAUAUAAUAGUAACUGAACAAAAGUGAAACAGUUGUUUAUAAACCACCUUUUGGAACAAUGACAUGUUGUGUCUUUACUUUGGCUGUGUUUUAUUUCUUGUUCUUUGGUAAGCUGAUUGGCUGAAAACCAAUCAGGGAUAAUAGUCUGCCUUAAAGCAGAUUUGACACAGUUAUUAGGGAAAACAAUUUCAAUUAUCUGUUGGGUAUUUCUUAAGCUUCUGAUUUCAGCUGUAAAAGGUGCAUGUUCUAUUUAACUCUGGGUAAUGGCAACUGCUAUCCAUCUGUUAGCAUCUUUGCUAGUUAAACAAGGGUAGCAACAUUUCCAUCAUAAUAAUUCCUAUCUUUCUUUUUGUUCAAACCCCAUUCUGAGAGGAGCUAAAUUGACUAUGAAGGCUACUGUUUCUUUUUGACAUGCCAUCUGCUGGAUGACAUCUCAAAAUUAUCACUGGAAAUUUAUGUUUAAGCAACUGUACCAGACAGCAGAGAAAAGCAAGAAUAUUUGCACAAUUGAAAACAACUUUGGUAACAUUUGGAAACCUCCCUUGUAGCAAGUUUUUGUAUUUAUCUUCAGUUGGCCUAAACACACCUCAAUGAAUUAAUCCCAUAGAUUAGUUUGCUGAAUUUGGGUAACCAGCAAGCCUUAUUUGCUAAUUGAAUACUUGGUUAAUCUACUCUUCCUGAAGUAUUUACCCAGUUUUUUUUUUUUUUUUAAUUGUACAAACUCAUUUGUUAACCAUGGAAAGCACAAGUGUUUCAUUUGAUAAUUGAAGAGUAAUCAGGAAAAAAAAAAAAAGAAAUAAUUUUGGAUCACAUAUUUUAGUCUAGAAUAAAAGGUCUUAUGUAAAGUAGUGAAUCCCAAUGGCAACAUACUACAUUAAGCUCUUAAUAACAUAUGAACCAGUAGGAAAUUUAUUUGAAUUCCUGAAAAGAAAUAUGACCAUGUAAUAGAUAUGCCAUAUGAGAUAAACAUGUUAAGGCUGGCUGAUGAUACACAAAUAUAUAGUCUCAGGGACUAUAAUGAAGUAUAAUAAGACAAAAUAAAGAUGGGUCCAAAUUAUUUCUGGAUUUGUUACCCUAAUUAUAGAAGACAAAUUAACAUCCUUGGUGGAGUUAAACUGAAAUUUUAUUAAAAAAUUUUUAGUCAUAGCUUUUAUUAUUAUCCUUACUCUCUACUCCUCCCCUGAGCUCCCUUGAGGUUCUGUAAAAAUUGCUUCUUGUAGUUAAUUAUGGAUGUCUACAUUCACCUAAUGACAAUCAGAGGAGUCUGGGACACAGUCAACAUUUGGAAAGAAUGGCAGUUACUGCAAUUCCUCGAGAUAGGUGAACUGGAAAUACAAAAAUGUUUAAGGGAUAAAGAGUUGAUAGAAGAGGAGAACAAGUAUAGUGGUAAUUUUUAUAGUCUAGUGUUUAGAAACAAGGCAAGAUAAAUGAUAUAGGACAGGUAAAGGAAGUUAAAAGGAGACAACCUGGAAAGCACACCUACUUUAUAACAGUAAGCUAAAGCUCUUGGGAGGAAGUUGCCUAGUACUAUGCAUUAAAUUCUUGGUCCAUAAAUUUUUGUAAUAGCUGUCUGGUUCUGGAAAUUGGUUGCUUUGGGAAGUAGUUUGUAAAUUUCAGGGUUAAGUCUUUCAUUUAUGAAUGUCCCAAGUUCUAAAUUUGUUAGUAUAUUUACCCGAGGUAGCAUGAAUCAUUGGGCAUGGUUCUGGAGUAUAAGAACAGGACAGUUACAGUUACUGAAAUUACUCCCUUUUAGGGCAGUUCUAAAAUUUGCCUUCAUACUGCCAUUUUUCUUUUUCAAUAUAAUUCAAUUGUCUAGCUGUGUAACAAAGUUCUAUCUGGUGACUGUUGGAAAUGUUUCUUUCAUAUAUAUAUUUGCUAUGUAAAACUUUAGUUUUAAGAUCAGAUGUUACAUAGGGACAAUGGAGGAGUCAAUCUAAGCCUCAUGAGACAUGUUAUGAUAUUGUAUAAUUAAACUUUAUAGUACGUAGCUGUAAUAUCUUUAAAGAAAGGGAUACACCUUUAGGUCAAGAUUAAAUUCUAUUGUAAAUUUGGAUGUUUUGAUUUAAAAACAUAUUAGUUUAAUCUUUUGAAAACUUUGGGAUAAUGGGGCAUCAAAAUUUAUAUUUUAUAAUAAACCUCAUAUAAUUUAUUAGUUAUUAAAUUGUGAAGUAAGUUUCUCUCACACUAGAAUGUAUUGAAAGUAUUUAACAAAGAGAAACAAAGCUGAUAAGUCAUUUUGCAAGUUCCAAAUAAGAAACAGCACUUGCCUAACCAGGAAAUAUGUAUACUAUUACUAAAAUAUAUUAAUCACUUCACAAUUAAGAUAACUGAUUAAAACCAAUUUAUAAAUUCAAAUGAUCCUUAGGUUAUUGUUCUGUAUUUUGCCCUACUUUAUAGUUUUCCUGAGUUCUAAUUACAAAUAAAGCAAAUUUUGUCAUAUUUUGAAUUUCUUAGGUAAAAUUUCUCCAUCAGUAAUUUUGUAAAGUUUGGAUUAACUUGAUUAACUUAACACCGGAGUUGCUUUAUUGUAACACAAGAUCUCAGAAUCUUUAUUUCAAUGGACUCCAAUCAGCCACUUGGGACACACCAAAGUCCAUAGAAGUUUAUGAAAUAAGAUUGUGUGAAAAUAGAUAGCUCUUUUAUAGAGGCAGAAGGUUGUAUUUGAAUAAGUCCUCUGGAUUCAUAAAAAUCAGGUUGAGUAAUGGCCUAUAAAAUCUCAAUAGUGGUGAAAUCUGUAAGGGCUGUUUGUUUUACAUAGUAGUCAUAUUGAGAUUUAUCUCUACCUUUUCAAUUACUGUUUAAUUUUAAUAAAGUGUAUUGAAUGACAAAUACUUAUUUAGAAACAUUUUUCAUGUAUAAUAUUCCUUAAACUUUAAAGUGCAUAUAAAUCAACUGUAUUAAAAAUUCAAAUUCCUAAACCACACUGCCAGAGAAUCUGAUGAGAUAAUUCUGAGGUGGCACCUGAAAAUGUACAUUUUAACAAACAUUUUUCAAGUCUAAAUUGAAAUUUAUGAUAUUCAGCUUUCUGGGUUGUCAGAUUAUAGUGAAUGGAUUGUACAAUUUCAUUCACUUGAAAAUUUUUACUAGGUAACUUUAUUUUUCAAGGGCUGAGUAACUUUCUAUUCUGAAACCAUUUCUAAAAUAUCUCAGUAGAAACACAAUAAUGGAAAGAUUAAGAGCCUGGAAUCUAGAGCUAGUUUCAACUAUGAGUAUAGUUCCAACUAUGGUUUGAUGUUUUACAAGGUUCUUUUUUUCCUGUAUAUAGUGCUUGACCUGAAAUGGAUAUACAAGUUAUUCUAGAUCAAUGGAUUUGUCCUUAGGGUGGUAGGGACUAUUUUUAUAUUUUUUAUGUAUCUGACUACAAAUAUUAAAUAAAGAAUAGAGAGAUGAAGAAAACAUGAUAAAUUAAACUAAAUGCUGAGUGACUGCAGAUAAAUGUACCAAAACUGUUAAAUUCAUUUUGUAAAAUAAUUCUGGUCACAAAGCAAGUCUCAGUGUAAAUUUCAAAAUUGCAAACAAAGAGAGUAGAUAUUCUUAUCACAGAGAAAUUAAUCUUAAAUCAUAUUUUUAAAAUGUAACUAGAAAUCUCUAUACAUUCAGAAAUUGAUAUACAUACACAUACACAUCCAAAAACCUCACUAGUACAAGAAUCUAAAAUUUAAAUACUUUGAACAUAUUUAGUAAAAUACAACUUAUAAAAUGUUUGUAUUACAGAUGAAGCUGCAUUAAUAGACAUGUUUGUAUACAUAUAUACAUGUUUGUAUAUAUCUCCAUAAAUCCAUAAUAAAAAAUUUAAAAGUCUGAAUUAUUAUCAAAGCAUCCAUCUAA
RNAcentral lists this long non-coding RNA (4114 nucleotides) under Sus scrofa (pig). RNAcentral's name for it is "lncRNA (ENSSSCG00000059277.1)". Lineage: Eukaryota; Metazoa; Chordata; Mammalia; Artiodactyla; Suidae. The record is from RNAcentral.